Molecule: long non-coding RNA, 578 nt
Organism: Gossypium arboreum
Lineage: Eukaryota; Viridiplantae; Streptophyta; Magnoliopsida; Malvales; Malvaceae
Exons: 3
Source: RefSeq, a predicted model, not a curated record
UAUUCCAUGAUAAUGGGUUAGGUAAAUGUUUCAUGAUAAUGGUUUAGAUAAAUGUUUCAUGAUAAGAAUUUCAUGUCUUUUGUAUUAAAGAAUUAAAUGGAUGAAAUAUGAAGUUUUAUUAAAAGAAAAAGGGGUGAAAAGAACAAAGUUUUGUCCAUCUUUGUUCAUCAUAGCUUAAAGUUAGAGAAGAGAAAAGAGAGGAGAAAGCUCUUGAGUAUUUGGUCAUUAGGAGGAGGAAAAUUGAAGGCGGUUCGUGUGUGGAUCUCGUCAGCAUAUCGUCGCAAACAGGAAAUCCCCAACCAUAGUGGGCUUGAAGCUGUGAGGGAAUUCGGAGUGGCCACCCGUUCUGAAAGUUUGAUUUUCUUUUGGUGAACUGGACAUCCUUUUAAUUACGUUUGAGGUUUUGGGCUUUUAAAUGUAAUAAGGCCACUUAUUUAUUUUUGAUGGUUUUUAUAUGUUUUAUUAAGAUAGAUAAUAUUUAUUUUAACUGUUGAAAUUGGAUAGCUUUAGGGCGCGUUUUCAAAAACAACAGUUGAUUUCAAAAUAACACGACAACAAGCAAAGCUUCCGCAAUAAAA